AGCAGCCGCGGUAAUUCCAGCUCCAAUAGCGUAUAUUAAAGUUGUUGCAGUUAAAAAGCUCGUAGUUGAAUUUCGGGAUCAAUGCGUCGGUCGUGCUUUGGGUACGUACUAGCGUCAUUGAUUCCUCCCUUCUGAAGAACCGUGAUGUCAUUAAUUUGGUNUUACGGGGAAUCAGGACUGUUACCUUGAAAAAUUAGUGUGUUUAAAGCAGGCUAACGCUUGAAUACAUUAGCAUGGAAUAAUGAAAUAGGACGUUCGAACCUAUUUUGUUGGUUUCUAGGAUCGACGUAAUGAUUAAUAGGGAUAGUUGGGGGCAUUAGGUAUUCAAUUGUCAGAGGUGAAAUUCUUGGAUUUAUUGAAGUACUAACUACUGCGAAAAGGAUGUUUCAUAUCAAGAACAAAGUUAGGGAUCGAAGACGAUCAGAAUACCGUCGUAGUACUUAACCAUAAACUAUGCCGACUAGGGAUCGGAUGAUGUUAAUUUUAUAAUGACUCA
RNAcentral lists this ribosomal RNA (496 nucleotides) under uncultured Glomeraceae. RNAcentral's name for it is "SSU rRNA". It matches the Rfam family "Eukaryotic small subunit ribosomal RNA", at positions 569 to 1078 of the family's 1831-position model. Lineage: Eukaryota; Fungi; Glomeromycota; Glomeromycetes; Glomerales; Glomeraceae. The record is from RNAcentral.